UGCCGUCUGCUCCCGGCUGAUAGAGCUCGUGCUCGCUCCCGAUGACGCUGAGCGCGAGCUACUCUGAGAUGGAUCAACAACAACAGACUUCAUGAGGACCACGAUGGACCCCGUUAGGACCCGGACUCUGGGAUCCUCCAUGGAAGCUCUACUGGUUUCUGUUGUGGGUUUACUGGUUCAGCCCCAUUGACUGCUGACGUACACACGAGGGACACAAACACGAAGAGACGACAGGAGGAGGAGGACGAGGAGGAGAAAGAAUAAGGAGAAGAA
Cyclopterus lumpus (lumpfish) is the source of this 273-nucleotide long non-coding RNA. RefSeq lists it as uncharacterized. The record is from RefSeq and is a predicted model, not a curated record. Lineage: Eukaryota; Metazoa; Chordata; Actinopteri; Perciformes; Cyclopteridae. The transcript is spliced from 2 exons.